Molecule: non-coding RNA, 218 nt
Organism: Pelobates cultripes (western spadefoot toad)
Lineage: Eukaryota; Metazoa; Chordata; Amphibia; Anura; Pelobatidae
Source: the annotation of a GenBank genome assembly
GCUCCGCCACCUCUCCACAGUUAUUCUUAUCAUUUCAUCCCCCUUUCCACCCGGUUUCUAGCACAACCUUGUCACGAUGGGUGAAAUGGCUGUUGUCCCAGUAAGGUAUUGAUACCACGGUCUUUGGCGCCCAUUUGGUCCGGGGGGCCUCAGCCUCUUCGAUGAUGACUGCAGGUGCGCGCCUGGAGGACAUUAUGAGGACGGCCGACUGGUCAAGG